RNAcentral lists this ribosomal RNA (804 nucleotides) under uncultured Alphaproteobacteria bacterium. RNAcentral's name for it is "bacterial SSU rRNA". It matches the Rfam family "Bacterial small subunit ribosomal RNA", at positions 35 to 887 of the family's 1533-position model. Lineage: Bacteria; Pseudomonadati; Pseudomonadota; Alphaproteobacteria. The record is from RNAcentral.
GCUGGCGGCAUGCCUCAUACAUGCAAGUCGAACGAAGUCUUCGGACUUAGUGGCGCACGGGUGAGUAACAUGUGGGAAUCUACCUAGAGGUUCGGAAUAACUGCGGGAAACUGUAGCUAAUACCGGAUGUGUCUGCAAAGAGAAAGAUUUAUCGCCUUUAGAUGAGCCCGCACUAGAUUAGCUAGUUGGUGAGGUAACUGCUCCACCAAGGCUACGAUCUAUAGCUGAUUUGAGAGGAUGAUCAGCCACACUGGGACUGAGACACGGCCCAGACUCCUACGGGAGGCAGCAGUAGGGAAUAUUGGACAAUGGGGGAAACCCUGAUCCAGCAAUGCCGCGUGAGUGAAGAAGGCCCUCGGGUUGUAAAACUCUUUCAUCAAUGAUGAUAAUGACAUUAGUUGAAGAAGAAGCUCCGGCUAACUUCGUGCCAGCAGCCGCGGUAAUACGAAGGGGGCUAGCGUUGUUCGGAAUCACUGGGCGUAAAGCGUAUGUAGGCGGAUCAAAAAGUUAGAUGUGAAAUCCCUGGGCUCAACCCAGGAACUGCAUUUAAAACUAGUGAUCUAGAAUUUGGUAAGGGUUAGUAGAAUUUCCAGUGUAGAGGUGAAAUUCGUAGAUAUUGGAAAGAAUACCAGAAGCGAAGGCGACUAACUAGGCCAUUUUUGACGCUGAGAUACGAAAGCGUGGGUAGCAAACAGGAUUAGAUACCCUGGUAGUCCACGCAGUAAACGAUGAGUGCUAGUCGCUGGGACAAUAGUUUCAGUGUCGUAGCUAACGCAUUAAGCACUCCGCCUGGGAAGUACGGUC